UUGGAGGGCAAGUCUGGUGCCAGCAGCCGCGGUAAUUCCAGCUCCAAUAGCGUAUAUUAAAGUUGUUGCAGUUAAAAAGCUCGUAGUUGAAUUUCGAGAUCAAAUUGUUGGUCGUGCCUUGGUACGUACUGGCAUUAUUGGUUUCUCCCUUCUGAAGAACCAUGAUGUCAUUAAUUUGGUGUCAUGGGGAAUCAGGACUGUUACUUUGAAAAAAUUAGAGUGUUUAAAGCAGGCUCGCGCUUGAAUACAUUAGCAUGGAAUAAUGAAAUAGGACGUUUAAUUCUAUUUUGUUGGUUUCUAGGAUUGACGUAAUGAUUAAUAGGGAUAGUUGGGGGCAUUAGUAUUCAAUUGUCAGAGGUGAAAUUCUUGGAUUUAUUGAAGACUAACUACUGCGAAAGCAUUUGCCAAGGAUGUUUUCAUUAAUCAAGAACGAAAGUUAGGGGAUCGAAGACGAUCAGAUACCGUCGUAGUCUUAACCAUAAACUAUGCCGACUAGGGAUCGGAUGAUGUUAAUUUUUUAAUGACUCAUUCGGCGCCUUACGGGAAAC
RNAcentral lists this ribosomal RNA (548 nucleotides) under uncultured Glomus. RNAcentral describes it as "SSU rRNA". It matches the Rfam family "Eukaryotic small subunit ribosomal RNA", at positions 548 to 1098 of the family's 1831-position model. Lineage: Eukaryota; Fungi; Glomeromycota; Glomeromycetes; Glomerales; Glomeraceae. The record is from RNAcentral.